UCGCAGAUCAUCUCUAAGAAGAACCGCCCGAGAUAUGCAAGUACCUCUUCGAGGGUGCAAGGAGAUGAUUGCAUGGAGCAUCUCAUGGGAUAAUAUAAGAGGCAACAGUGGAGAAGAAGAU
Hordeum vulgare subsp. vulgare (domesticated barley) is the source of this 121-nucleotide long non-coding RNA. RefSeq lists it as uncharacterized. The record is from RefSeq and is a predicted model, not a curated record. NCBI's taxonomy places the organism in Eukaryota, Viridiplantae, Streptophyta, Magnoliopsida, Poales, Poaceae. The transcript is spliced from 2 exons.